RNAcentral lists this ribosomal RNA (569 nucleotides) under uncultured bacterium. Its description in RNAcentral is "bacterial SSU rRNA". It matches the Rfam family "Bacterial small subunit ribosomal RNA", at positions 31 to 614 of the family's 1533-position model. The record is from RNAcentral.
UAACGCUGGCGGCGUGCCUAACAAUGCAAGUCGCACGUCCUCUCUCUUUUCGGAGAGGGAGGGAGUGGCGCACGGGUGAGUAACACAUGGGUACCUGCCUUCCAGUGAGGAAUACCUCCGGGAAACCGGGGACAAGACCGCAUAGGCUUACCCUUUGGGUAAGCAAAGCUCUCUCUUAGCGGGAGGGUGCUGGAAGAGGGGCCUGUGGCCGAUUAGCUGGUUGGUGGGGUAAGCGCUCACCAAGGCGACGAUCGGUAGCUGGUCUGAGAGGACGAGCAGCCACACUGGGAUUGAGAACGGCCCAGACUCCUACGGGGGGCAGCAGUGAGGAAUUUUCGGCAAUGGGCGCAAGCCUGACCGAGCAACGCCGCGUGCCGGAAGACGGCCUUCGGGUUGUAAACGGCUUUUCUGGAGGAAGAGAGAAGGACGGUACUCCAGGAAGCAGCCCCGGCUAACUACGUGCCAGCAGCCGCGGUAAGACGUANGGGGCAAGCGUUGUCCGGAGUUACUGGGCGUAAAGGGCACGCAGGCGGCUGCGCGCGUUUCCGGUGCCAGCCUCACGCUUCACG